ACUGAUAUAAGACAAUUCUUAAGUCCAUCACAAUGUAAAGUUGUCAAAGACAUGCUUGCAUCCCCUAGAAUUCCAACCAUGAUGAGCAGGGCCUCCAGGUGGAUGUUGCCAACAGCUUCAAAAUGCAAGGAGGCUUGCAAUCACUAAAACUCCAACUGUGAGGAGCAGGGCCUUCAGGUAGAUGUCUGCCUGCUGCUGUUGCCCCAAUGGUGCUUGCCUGUGGACGCCAUGGGUGUGUCCCAUAUGCCCACCAUGGAAGCCAUGCCCAUGGCCGUACCCAUAGUGGAACCCAGGAGGCUGCGCAUAAGCAGCAGCAUCUGGAAAUCCAUGGACUUGGAAGCUAAGCAUAGGGAACAGGCCCCCAAAAGCAGCCGAGAAUGCAUAGUUCCCCCACCGUGCAUUCGCCAAUGGGACUCCUGUGCCCAUGAACCAUGGGUUCCCAUUGGCAUUGGGGAAGUUGUUGUUGUUGUUGUUAGUAUCAGCCUGUGGGGCUGUGGCAGGCCUCUGGCCAGUCGGGCGGUGAGGAAUGUCAGAUUCAGGCAUGUUCUUUGAUCUUGGGUCAACACGGUCCUUGCCUCGUCCAUAAAGGGGAACAAGCUUGUCUUCCUCGACAAGGGCCUUGCACACCGGGCACUCUGGUGAGUGUGCAUGGAUGUGCAACCACCGGUAAAGGCAUGGCCAGCAGAAGAGAUGGCCGCAAAGCGUCACUAUUGGCUCUUGUGGCAGCUCAAAGCAUAUGUUGCACUCAAAACUCCCCCCAGCUGCGUCGCCGCUGCUGCCAGCACUCGUUGAUUCACCAACAUUUGCUGACAUCUUGCUUAUAGUCGGAACGAAUUAAGCUGCAAUUCCCAAGGAUUACAGGAUGAAGAACAUGGCUACCAAUAAAAUUCAUAAAAAUGACUGAAGAUAUUAAUCCUAGUACAACCAACAAGUAAGAAAUUAUUACACAUAACUACAAACAGCACCCCAUUUUUCUACUUAGCACAGUGAAAGCCACCAAAAGGGUCCAUGUUUAGUGGAAGGGUAAAAUUCUCAUGGUCCUAAGUAGAAUUAAGCCACAGACCCAUAAGUAUAGCAGCAACAAAGAUUGUCCAAAUAGUUAUGAUAUAGACGACAUAUCAAUUACCAUGAUCAGAAACUCUCCCGAAAUCUAAAGAUUUAUUUCUGACACGAGAUCAUCUUCUAGAUGCGCAACCUGACGAUUUCAAAAUGGUUCUAACCGAUCCUAAACAGGGCUUGUGUUUAAAGGGGGGAAAAUCGAACUCCCACGAGAUUGGUAUGAACCUUCACGCAAAACUCUGAAGAACAUGGAAUUACAACCAGGAGCCAAUCGAAUUCCAUCUCGACCGCCCGCCCAGGCCAAAAUUCGUCAACCUUUUCGGAGCAGAUUCCAACCUCUUCUCCGAGGGAAAUCCCAAUUCUCCCCCCUCCAAUAUCACUGACCUACGCCAAUAGAUCAAUCAAACUAGCAACCAAACCGCGGCCCCAUGCUUGACCCACCCCAAAUCGCCACGAAUCCCAACCCCCCAAAUCGAGAGCAUCCAUAAGACCUAGCGGCAGAAUCCGCCCAUCGAAUCAGAGCCACGAACACCACAUCCACAAAUCAGGAGCGCCGCAACCUAAGCCCUAAAUCACGGAGGAAUCCGGCGCGGAAUCCGAUGGGGGAGCACCAUUACCUGCGAGCGAAGGGGAGGGAGGGGGCGACGGACUCGGAGAAAUUCCUUCCACUCGACGGCGCGGCGACCGACGGG
Molecule: long non-coding RNA, 1751 nt
Filed under: Setaria viridis
Lineage: Eukaryota; Viridiplantae; Streptophyta; Magnoliopsida; Poales; Poaceae
Description: long non-coding RNA (SVIR_LNC010171)
Source: RNAcentral